UCUUGCUCUAGCGUGCCUUUGACGAGCCACGUCAAGCAGCCGUGCUGGGCAGGGAGCCCCAGGGUGGGCAGCGGGGUCCCUGCUGGCCCCGGUGUAGCUGGCUGUCAGAAGGAGGGUUAUUUUCACUGUGGUUUCAGAACCAUCCUUCUGCCGCCACUUACAGCAGAAGCCACCCUUGCUGUGCUGGUGCUUGAAGAGAUGGCUGGUCCCUGGGCAGAGCAUCCUUGUCCCCGGCACAGCAUCCCUGUCCCCAGGCAGAGCAUCCCUGUCCCUCUCCCUGUCCCCAGGCACAGCAUCCCUGCCCAGCUCACUGACCUGCUGGGGACGUGUCCCUGGCACUUGCCUGGCAUUACAGCUCCCCAUUUGGGCUCAGGGGGCUGUCCCCGGUCUUAGGCUGUGGCUGAUAAGGAAUAAAUCCGAGUGUCUCAGUUUAAGAAGCUACGCCGUUUCCUUCACCCCAGCAAUGGCUUUUAGUCACUCAGUCUUGCUACAGAAAAAUUCAUGAGAUCGUUUCCCCCAACACAACAUGUUACUUUGAAAUCGUAAUUAAAUACCUCUGGCUGUUCUAAUAUUAAGCUUUUGUAAGCGCUUGGAAUAAUAUUUCAGAGAAAGGGAAAAGCUUUGUACUCUAUUAGCAUGAUAUACUCUUCUCCCAGUGAAAUAUCUCGAGCAUCAAAUCCUCCAUACACGUUGGAAAUCCUCUUCCCUGUUAGUUUCCUCAAUGAAGUGAAGGCACACACCUCCCUCGGGUCUCU
Long non-coding RNA from Anas platyrhynchos (mallard), 755 nucleotides. RefSeq lists it as uncharacterized. The record is from RefSeq and is a predicted model, not a curated record. NCBI's taxonomy places the organism in Eukaryota, Metazoa, Chordata, Aves, Anseriformes, Anatidae.